GACGAACGCUGGCGGCGUGCCUAAUACAUGCAAGUAGAACGCACAGUUUAUACCGUAGCUUGCUACACCAUAGACUGUGAGUUGCGAACGGGUGAGUAACGCGUAGGUAACCUGCCUGGUAGCGGGGGAUAACUAUUGGAAACGAUAGCUAAUACCGCAUAAUAUUAAUUAUUGCAUGAUAAUUAAUUGAAAGGUGCAAUUGCACCACUACCAGAUGGACCUGCGUUGUAUUAGCUAGUAGGUGAGGUAACGGCUCACCUAAGCGACGAUACAUAGCCGACCUGGGAGGGUGAUCGGCCACACUGGGACUGAGACAAGGCCCAGACUCCUACGGGAGGCAGCAGUAGGGAAUCUUCGGCAAUGGACGAAAGUCUGACCGAGCAAAGCCGCGUGAGUGAAGAAGGUUUUCGGAUCGUAAAGCUCUGUUGUAAGAGAAGAACGGGUGUGAGAGUGGAAAGUUCACACUGUGACGGUAUCUUACCAGAAAGGGACGGCUAACUACGUG
Molecule: ribosomal RNA, 505 nt
Filed under: uncultured bacterium
Lineage: Bacteria
Description: partial 16S ribosomal RNA
Rfam family: Bacterial small subunit ribosomal RNA
Source: RNAcentral